This 435-nucleotide ribosomal RNA is filed under the name uncultured bacterium. Its description in RNAcentral is "partial 16S ribosomal RNA". It matches the Rfam family "Bacterial small subunit ribosomal RNA", at positions 29 to 507 of the family's 1533-position model. The record is from RNAcentral.
AGCGAACGCUGGCGGCAGGCUUAACACAUGCAAGUCGAGCGGGCACUUUCGGGUGUCAGCGGCGGACGGGUGAGUAACGCGUGGGAACGUGCCCUCUGGUUCGGAAUAACUCAGGGAAACUUGAGCUAAUACCGGAUACGCCCUUUUGGGGAAAGGCUUGCUGCCGGAGGAUCGGCCCGCGUCUGAUUAGCUAGUUGGUGAGGUAACGGCUCACCAAGGCGACGAUCAGUAGCUGGUCUGAGAGGAUGAUCAGCCACACUGGGACUGAGACACGGCCCAGACUCCUACGGGAAGCAGCAGUAGGGAAUAUUGGGCGAUGGGCGCAAGCCUGAUCCAGCCGUGCCGCGUGAGUGAUGAAGGCCUUAGGGUUGUAAAGCUCUUUUAUCCGGGACGAUAAUGACGGUACCGGAGGAAUAAGCCCCGGCUAACUUCGUG